UUGGAGGGCAAGUCUGGUGCCAGCAGCCGCGGUAAUUCCAGCUCCAAUAGCGUAUAUUAAAGUUGUUGCAGUUAAAAAGCUCGUAGUUGAAUUUCGGAGUUUGUCGGUUGGUCGGGCUUCACUGUUCGCACUGGCCUGAUGGAUUCCUACCUUCUGAAUAACCAGCAUGCUAUUAAUUUAGUGUGUUGGGGAAGCAGAGCUAUUACCUUGAAAAAAUUAGAGUGCUUAAAGCAGGCUUACGCUUGAAUAGAUUAGCAUGGAAUAAUAAAAUAGGACGGCAUGGUUCUAUUUUGUUGGUUUCUAGGAUCACCGUAAUGAUUAAUAGGGAUAGUUGGGGGCAUUAGUAUUCAAUUGUCAGAGGUGAAAUUCUUGGAUUUAUUGAAGACUAACUUCUGCGAAAGCAUUUGCCAAGGAUGUUUUCAUUAAUCAAGAACGAAAGUUAGGGGAUCGAAGACGAUCAGAUACCGUCGUAGUCUUAACCAUAAACUAUGCCGACUAGGGAUCGGACGAUGUUAAUUUUUUAAUGACUCGUUCGGCGCCUUACGGGAAAC
Molecule: ribosomal RNA, 551 nt
Filed under: uncultured Glomeromycotina
Lineage: Eukaryota; Fungi; Glomeromycota
Description: SSU rRNA
Rfam family: Eukaryotic small subunit ribosomal RNA
Source: RNAcentral